Molecule: ribosomal RNA, 465 nt
Filed under: Vreelandella stevensii
Lineage: Bacteria; Pseudomonadati; Pseudomonadota; Gammaproteobacteria; Oceanospirillales; Halomonadaceae
Description: partial 16S ribosomal RNA
Rfam family: Bacterial small subunit ribosomal RNA
Source: RNAcentral
CCUACGGGGGGCUGCAAUGGGGAAUAUUGGACAAUGGGGGGAACCCUGAUCCAGCCAUGCCGCGUGUGUGAAGAAGGCCCUCGGGUUGUAAAGCACUUUCAGUGAGGAAGAACGCCUGGUGGUUAAUACCCAUCAGGAAAGACAUCACUCACAGAAGAAGCACCGGCUAACUCCGUGCCAGCAGCCGCGGUAAUACGGAGGGUGCGAGCGUUAAUCGGAAUUACUGGGCGUAAAGCGCGCGUAGGUGGCUUGAUAAGCCGGUUGUGAAAGCCCCGGGCUCAACCUGGGAACGGCAUCCGGAACUGUCAAGCUAGAGUGCAGGAGAGGAAGGUAGAAUUCCCGGUGUAGCGGUGAAAUGCGUAGAGAUCGGGAGGAAUACCAGUGGCGAAGGCGGCCUUCUGGACUGACACUGACACUGAGGUGCGAAAGCGUGGGUAGCAAACAGGAUUAGAUACCCGUGUAGUC